GAGUUUGAUCGUGGCUCAGAUUGAACGCUGGCGGCAUGCCUUACACAUGCAAGUCGAACGGCAGCAUGAUCUAGCUUGCUAGAUUGAUGGCGAGUGGCGAAACGGGUGAGUAAUACAUCGGAACGUGCCCUGUAGUGGGGGAUAACUAGUCGAAAGAUUAGCUAAUACCGCAUACGACCUGAGGGUGAAAGUGGGGGACCGCAAGGCCUCAUGCUAUAGGAGCGGCCGAUGUCUGAUUAGCUAGUUGGUGGGGUAAGGGCCCACCAAGGCGACGAUCAGUAGCUGGUCUGAGAGGACGAUCAGCCACACUGGGACUGAGACACGGCCCAGACUCCUACGGGAGGCAGCAGUGGGAAUUUUGGACAAUGGGCGAAAGCCUGAUCCAGCAAUGCCGCGUGUGUGAAGAAGG
RNAcentral lists this ribosomal RNA (409 nucleotides) under uncultured microorganism. Its description in RNAcentral is "bacterial SSU rRNA". It matches the Rfam family "Bacterial small subunit ribosomal RNA", at positions 9 to 414 of the family's 1533-position model. The record is from RNAcentral.